UGGGGAAUUUUGGACAAUGGGGGAAACCCUGAUCCAGCCAUCCCGCGUGUGCGAUGAAGGCCUUCGGGUUGUAAAGCACUUUUGGCAGGAAAGAAACGUCGCGGGUUAAUACCCCGCGAAACUGACGGUACCUGCAGAAUAAGCACCGGCUAACUACGUGCCAGCAGCCGCGGUAAUACGUAGGGUGCAAGCGUUAAUCGGAAUUACUGGGCGUAAAGCGUGCGCAGGCGGUUCGGAAAGAAAGAUGUGAAAUCCCAGAGCUUAACUUUGGAACUGCAUUUUUAACUACCGGGCUAGAGUGUGUCAGAGGGAGGUGGAAUUCCGCGUGUAGCAGUGAAAUGCGUAGAUAUGCGGAGGAACACCGAUGGCGAAGGCAGCCUCCUGGGAUAACACUGACGCUCAUGCACGAAAGCGUGGGGAGCAAACAGGAUUAGAUACCCUGGUAGUCCACGCCCUAAACGAUGUCAACUAGCUGUUGGGGGCCUUCGGGCCUUGGUAGCGCAGCUAACGCGUGAAGUUGACCGCCUGGGGAGUACGGUCGCAAGAUUAAAACUCAAAUGAAUUGACGGGGGUCAUAGCUG
Molecule: ribosomal RNA, 581 nt
Filed under: uncultured bacterium
Lineage: Bacteria
Description: partial 16S ribosomal RNA
Rfam family: Bacterial small subunit ribosomal RNA
Source: RNAcentral